RNAcentral lists this ribosomal RNA (254 nucleotides) under uncultured bacterium. RNAcentral's name for it is "partial 16S ribosomal RNA". It matches the Rfam family "Bacterial small subunit ribosomal RNA", at positions 524 to 776 of the family's 1533-position model. The record is from RNAcentral.
CACGUAGGGUGCGAGCGUUGUCCGGAAUUAUUGGGCGUAAAGAGCUCGUAGGCGGUGUGUCGCGUCGGCCGUGAAAACUUGGGGCUUAACUCUGAGCGUGCGGUCGAUACGGGCAUCACUUGAGUUCGGCAGGGGAGACUGGAAUUCCUGGUGUAGCGGUGAAAUGCGCAGAUAUCAGGAGGAACACCGGUGGUGAAGGCGGGUCUCUGGGCCGAUACUGACGCUGAGGAGCGAAAGCAUGGGGAGCGAACAGG